RNAcentral lists this ribosomal RNA (218 nucleotides) under uncultured bacterium. RNAcentral's name for it is "partial 16S ribosomal RNA". It matches the Rfam family "Bacterial small subunit ribosomal RNA", at positions 15 to 235 of the family's 1533-position model. The record is from RNAcentral.
GAUCAUGGCUCAGGAUAAACGCUGACAGAAUGCUUAACACAUGCAAGUCGAUGACUAAGUAUAGCUUGCUAUACAAGGUCAUGGCGGACGGGUGAGUAACGUGUAAAGAACUUACCUUAUAGACUGGGAUAACAGAUAGAAAUGUCUGAUAAUACUAGAUACUAUUACACUGUGGCAUCACAGAGUAAUGAAAGAAUACGCUAUAAGAGAGCUUUGCA